CAAUCCGCAUGUCAUCCUGGUGAUGAUUGUCACAAAUUAAAUUGAAAACAUUAGGAGAUAGAAGAUGUAUUUUUAUUUUUCAGUCUGGUUUAUAAAAGAUGCUAAAUGCAACUAAGAAGAUAUAUAUAUAUAUAUAUAUAUAUAUAUAUAUAUAUAUAUAUACCUUAACAUUUGAGAAGACAGUAGGUUGAAUGUAGUAGCCCUUGUCGCCAAGUCUGUCUCCUCCUGUUUCAAGGGUAGCCCCACUUUCAACCCCAAGUCUGACAUACCUCAGGAUUUUCUC
RNAcentral lists this long non-coding RNA (283 nucleotides) under Phaseolus vulgaris (common bean). RNAcentral's name for it is "long non-coding RNA (PVUL_LNC003811)". The record is from RNAcentral. Lineage: Eukaryota; Viridiplantae; Streptophyta; Magnoliopsida; Fabales; Fabaceae.